ACCUGUGCUGUUCUCUAACACAGGGAGACAGGAAUCCGUCAGAGAUAACCCGAUAAAUAUAAUUGUUGACGGUUUUUCCAGAGUUGAAGCUCGGGUCGCUGUUGUCAGUCGCAGCUGUGGAAGCUUACAGAGUGUCUCCUCUUAUCUCUGUGGGAUGUAGACUCUUUACGUGUGUCUUUUUGGAGAGCUGCGCCGGUCUCCCCUCUUUCUGAGCGAGUGUUUGAGCCCAGCGGUGUUUUAACUGAUCCUGUGCUGGUCUUUGACCUGGAAGUCACAAAUGCAUAGAGGGAAGUAAGGAAGAGAACAACAUAAGGCUUUCAACAUGGUGGAGGAUAAACAGUGCCUGCAGGCUUUACAAGAAGAGGGCAUUAUUGCAUGGUCUGGAAGCUGCUAUUGUGAUUAAAAACUCAAGAGAAAUGAAGAGAGUCCUUUAAAAUGAAGAAGAAACAUGGUGUUGGAUUACCAUGAUGGAAAAAAACCCAAACUGUCUGCCCAUUGAUGUAAUGACUACAGAAAUUGCUUUCUACUGAAAUACACAUUAAACCUCACUUGUAUCUUUACUUGCAUGAGAAGGUGUUAGCAUUAAGCUACAUCUGUCUAAAUGAUAAAGCUACUCUGUAUAGUCUUCUAUUGUGCCUGUAACAUGCAGAUAGCUUGAGGCACUGAUUCACUGGCAGAUGAAGAUGGAUAGACAGUGUUGCAUCGAGUAACUGGAGGGUACUAAAUAAGCUGCUGUGCAAGCAGCUGUAUCUCUGGAUGAGUAAGGGCAGAUAGUAUUUUAACUGACCAAAAAGACUCACUAGAUUUCCCUAGAUGUGCAGCUGCAGAUAGCAGUAGAUUCAAGUUUCAUUGAGCGUGUGAGAGGCUAGGUUGAGAGGGUUGUUUAGUUUGUACAAUGACUACUAGAGAGAGAGUUGAGUUGAUGGAGACCCGGGAAGGAGGUGUGAGGGAGAGGCUGCUCAGAGGUAAAGGCAACCCUGAAAACGAUGUCGAAGCUGAGGAUGACAAACUCUCAGGGGCUUUUGACUGCGGCAUCUGUGGACGCAGCUUCCCGUUUCUCAGUUCGUUGUCGCAGCAUAUGAGACGCCACACGGGUGCUCGUCCUUACAAAUGCCCCUACUGUGACCACAGAGCCUCUCAGAAAGGCAAUCUCAAAGUCCACAUCCGCAGCCACAAACUGGGCACGCUGUCCAGCCACCACUCCAAUGAGGAUGAAGAUGGUGGGGCUGAAGAGGAGGAGAUGAGCGUUUCAGAGGGUCUUGAUGGAGGCACGAGUCCGACUAAGAGCAGCUCAGCCUGUAACCGGAUGAUUAAUGGCGAUAGUAGUGAGGAUAGUCGGAGGAAAGUCCCAGGGAGAAGUGUGAAAAGAGAGAAGUCAGCAAGUGACCAGAGGCCUUACUGCUGCCGUCUUUGUGGUUACGAGGCUCUGAGAGAGGACCAGCUCCUUAGCCACAUUGAAAAGGUCCACAUAACAGUAGACCCAGAGGAGGAGACUGUUGUUAAAGAGGAAGCAGUGGCAGAAACUGACAACCUCCAACCUCAAAGUGAUGGGACCUUCCCAUGUGAAACAUGUGGCCAGGUCUUUACCCAGGCCUGGUUUCUGAAGUCACAUAUGAAGAAGCAUGCCGGAAUCUUAGACCACUGCUGUCGAAUCUGUGGACGACGCUUCCGAGAAGCUUGGUUCCUCAAAUCACACAUGAAAACACACAACACCAAAUCCAGGUCCCGAUCGAAAGCAGAUUCACCUGAAGUUCCUGCAACCAUCAACGAUGUUGCACAGGAUCCUGACAGUGUCACAUGCUCCGUCACAUCCAAUUAUCAAGUGUGUUCCAAAUGUGGUAACCUGUUCCACAACAGAGAGAGCCUGCGGGCCCACGAGAAAGUCCACGGUCUUAGCUAUGGCAAGAAAUCCCAAAGCCAAUCCAGACUCAGUGAUGAUGAGGACUCACCAGCUGCUAAGAGACGCUACCUUGACUACCUAAACCUUCAGCCUAUUCUGAAAAACCCUGAAGAAGAGGAGAAAGAGGAGAGCGAGAAGAUAGUGCUUGGUCAAAGAAUCCCAGAGCUAGAUCCAGUCUGCAGCUACCAGGCCUGGCAAUUAGCAACCAAAGGAAGGGUGGUGGAGCCAGUGGAGCAGAGUUUCAAAGCCUCAAAUGGAGGAGGAAGUAUGGGUGAGGAAGCCCUUGCUGAAGCGGCUGUGGUUUUCGAGAAGGAGAGCAGUAGUUUUGUUCUGCAAAGUCAAGAGAAGCGCAGCACAUCAGGGCGGCGCAGCAGCUCUGGUUUGGGCCAUGCAUCUUCAGGGGACCGGACACCAGAGAGUCUCAGCGACUCUGAGUACAGGCCUUCCUCCCGCCAGGAUCGAAGGAGACCAUCUCAGUCGCAAGCCUCCUCCAGGUCCAACGAGUGUUUCGAGUGUGGGAAGGUGUUUCGCAGUCGUCACCAGUUGAUUGUCCACCAGCGGGUCCACAGAAAGGAUGGAGGUAGAGCAUCUGUGGGAGAAAAGGAAAGAACUGCAUGGGGCUCCACCAGUGAUCCAGAGUCAGGUUCCCCGAGCCGACCCAGCACCCCCGGGUAUGGAGACUCUCCGCCAGCAUCUACACUUGGAGACCAGGCCUCAGAGAUGGGAACAGCAAACUCUGGAGAGAUUACAGAUGAGAAGCCUUACAUCCGCAGCCUCUCUGACUUAGUCACUUCAGAGCUGCAGACUUACUCGACCCAUGCACGUGCCCAACACCCAGCUGCACCUGAUGACAGACCAAGCCCCAUCCCCAGCCCUAGCCCCAGCUCCAGCUCAGACAGAGGCACCCCUAGUGGAUACCCCAAACUGAAGAAAGCUCUCCUUCAGGGUUUAAACAGCUCUUCACCUGGUGCUUACCAUUCAGCUCGAUCCUCCCCGCUUGAUCCAACAUUAACCCCUGUGGAUCUGUGUGUGAGGGCCGAGGGCUGCAGGGGCAUCAUCUCCCUGGACAGGAAGAGCCUUCCUAGCCACAAGUGCUCCUUCUGCUCCCACUCCACCCGCUACCCCGAGGUGCUCUGGAUGCAUCAGACUGUGGCACACCGCAUCAACAGCAGCAGCUCCAAUAUUGCACCAAAAUGGGCCCUGAAAACUAGCACUAAGGGCCCAAGGGACAGUUCAUUAUCCUCCAAGAGACGCACCGGUCCUCCUCCCAUCCUGGAGGGAAAAGAGUGUCCCCCGCUGCCUCCAUUGAUGCGCACCCAACGCACCAGACCCCCUAACUACUCCAGUGAGCUCCAAAAGAAGAGCAAGCCAAGCAGUCAAGCAGCCACACCGUCAUCAUCCUCCGCUACCCCCUCCUCUUCAUUCUCCAGGGGCCCUUCAUCCACCUCAGGCACCCAAGCUGGGAGAGUCCCAGUUCGACCAGGCAACAGCUCCAGCAGGCACACAGAGGAUCAGAGUAAUCAGCCUCGCAUCAGACCCAAAGUGGAUAUUUACCCCCGUGGAGGUUCAUCCUCCUCCUCCAGCUCCUUGGAGAAGAGCACUGGAGUCCUGUCACGCUCCUCGGCUCCGAGCCCCAGCUCUGCCUCGUCAUCCCGGAUUUCUGAGCGCUAUCUGAUGCCUCAGGAGGGUCUGGGCUUCAUGCUGACCAGCAAACACGGCCUUGCAGAGUACAGCCGAGCCAGAGGUUCCCCUCAUCAGCCGCUUCCCAACUCCCACCACAGCCAGAGCCGGGCUAAUGCUACGAGGCCCAGCGCCAUCACCCAUAGCUCUGCUGCAGGACUCAACUAUGGGGCCUCCCAGGCACAUGGAGGCACUCUGCAGAAUCCUUCCUCCUCUUCCUCUUCUUCCUCUUCCUCCUCAUCUGCAUCUUCUUUGCCUUCAGAAGUUCGGGGGAAUGUAAAGCAGGAGCCGAUUGCAGAGACACCGGAGAUGCCCGCUGAUGUUCUCAGCUUCCUGAAGAACUACAGUCCCCAUGAGCUGGCAGCCCUCUACCAUCGCUGGGGUGCAGCCAACGCCCUGCUGGAUCCCACUGUGGACGGAUACAGAGGGCUGAAUAAAGAUUGCUGUUCUUUGAACUAAGGCUAAAGAUUUCUUCUCUGAAUCUCCAGAUAAGUGUGCUAAAUGCUAGCAUUCAUGGCAGCGACACAACAGUUAACAGUGACAUGUGUUCAUGCCCGUUUUAUAUUCUAAUGGUUGAUUUCUGUCAAAAGUGCAAAUAUUAGCAAAUACAGAUGUUAAACCGAUGCAUCCAUGCUCACCAGCGAUGGAUUGGCAACAAGGGGGGCGGACUACAUUUACCAUUAUUGACUUAGACAAGGCCAAAACCAUACAAAAAGAAGUUUUAAGACUACCAUCAAGCACUACUAUCAUGUGAGUGAAAGAGGUUUUCCUUCAUCAUCAGCUCAUAUACAAAUGCCCUCAGGAUGUUUGCUUUGUCAAAGAAAUGUGUGCUGCAUGGUUAGUGAUGUCACCUAACACUAAGAAGGUUCCUGAUUUAAGAGAUCCCUGGUGGUUCUAGUUUUAAAGUCCCAGUCAGAAAGGCUUUUCUGUGUGAAGUUUGCAUGAUCCCCCCAUACUUGUGUGGGCUCUUUCCAGCUUCCUCUUCUGUCCAAUGAUAGUUUGUGACUUUUAAUUGCCCGUAGGUGAGAGUAUUAUUGUCAGCCCUGUGAUCGACUGACCAGUCCAGGGUGCACCCCAUCCCUUGCCCAAUGACAGCUGAGAUCGACUUCAGCCCUCCUGCAACCUGAAACAGAUAAGCAGUAUAGAUAAUCGACGACUGAAGAAAAAAGUUUUCCAAUUUGUGCCUGUUUGGAGUAAAAUUUGCUAAACCCUGAUCAUAGCAAACAUCUGUUACUAUUUAAGAGCAAAAAACAUUACAAUGCAACAUGCAAUGACAAUGAAUUUUUCUAUCUGUCUGUCUAUCUAUCUAUCUAUCUAUCUAUCUAUCUAUCUAUCUAUCUAUCUAUCUAUCAGAAAGACCACAACAGUGCAAUCCAAGUUCGAGACUUGACAUGUGAACCAUAUUCAAUCAUUGAUAAAUACCUUCCCCUUUAACACUCUGACUCUGUCUCUCACAAACACCAUCUGGUAGAAAGUGAUUGACAGACAUGAAUUCUCCUGGAUUCUGACAGGGUUUCUGAAUAAUGAAGAGAAGAUCCAUUAGAUGCACAUGUGUGCUUGCAUGUUUGUGAGAUAAAAUUAAAGGCUGUAACUGGGGCAGCAUGUGUGCCUGUGUGUCCAUAUGUGCUCUGCUUUUUAGAUGCAAAAGUGUGUGUGUAUUUUUUUUUUUUUUUUUUUUUUUUUUACUUUGAAAGACGUGAGAGAACCUUUGCUUCUCUCAGGUCUGCGAGGCAUGCCUAGUCUCCUGCUCCACUCUCCCAGAAAGCUGUCACAAACUGUUUAGGUCACGGCUCUGCCUGACGAGAGACUCGCACAGAUGCGAAUGGAGGGAGGCAAAACAGAGACGGAGAGAGAGAGAGAACAUGUGAGGCAGAGAGAAAGAUGAGACAGAAUAAUUACCCCACCAGCUGCUUUGGAAAUGGUCAUUACCGAACAUCCACGUUAUUUGCCCAUUUUUCGGUUGUGUCUCUAAGGUCAAGUGGGGCUGUACGGAGCCAGAGGUCAGAGACAACAGCCCCAGAGCGGACGCAUGACAUCGCUGUCAGCCGUCCAGGCGCAUAUCGUCACCAUCCGCCUUAGCCCUUUGAGUCACAUGCUAUAAAGUGACCUUUUUUGAGCAACUGAGUUUUCCUCCCAUUUCUCUCUGUAAUAAUCCUACCAGUUUGUGUGUCUGCUUGUGUUUUCCGUCCAGCUCUGUCUUGUCUUUCAUUAGUGCAUCAGUGAGAAGGGCUGGCUGCCCACAGUACAAGUCGAGUAUCCAGAGGCCAGCAGUUGGGCUGCCAGAGACGCUCUCUGUCACCUCCACCGCCUCCAUGUCCUCCUUGUCCUGCUUCCCACCCUCCCCUCUAUGUGGCACAAACAUACACAUAACAAUGAGGCACUGCCCAGGUAUACACUGAAGUCAGUGCUUUAGGGAAUGCAAUACAUGUCCUCCUCGCCAAAAGUACCUCUGAACCCUCAAGGCCCAUGGUCUGUCAGCUGGUAGGUCACAGGAGUUCAUGUGUAUGUGUGUACUACUUGGUGUGUUUGUACUCACCAUGUCAGCAAACUGAUCAAACCAUCUUUGAGUCUCUCUUGCUGCUUUGCCUGUGUCGUCAUCUGCAUAUUUACAGUGCCUUUAAGAAGUAUUCCCCCCUUGGGAUGUUUUGCCUGUGCAUUGAUUUUCAUAUAUCAAUCAUUGUCAAUAUAACUUAGCUUUCUUGAAAAACAAAAAAAAAAAAACUAAAAAAGACCCUCUUCAACAUCAAAGUAUUCUAAAAAAAGUAUUGUCAAAUAAAUAAUGUAAUCUGAAAUAAGCGACUGCAUGAAUAUUCGCCCCUCAGUUUUUAGUAGAUUUGGCUGCAGUCACAGCACUGUGUCUGUGUGGAUAGGUCUCAAUUAGGCUUGCUCAUCUAGACACUGCAAUUUUACUCCAUUCUUCUUUGCAAAACUGCUCUAACUCUGUCUGGUUGCAUGGGGAUCAGGAGUAAACAGUCCUUUUCAAGUCCAGCCAAAAAUUCUCUAUUGGAUUGAGGUCUGGGUUUUGAUUCAGCCACUCAAGAACAUGCACCUUGUCUUUAAACCAUUUCUGUUUAACUUUGGCUGUAUGCUUUAGGCUAUUGUCUUUCUGGAGAGAAAUCUUCCUCUUAGCUGUAGUUUUCUUGCAGACUGAAUAAGAUAGGCUUUAUAAGCCAUCCAGGUCCAGCUGCUAAGAAGCAUCCCUACAGCAUGAUGUUGCUGGGGAUGGUGAUGUGCAGUGUUUGGUGUCCAUCAAACAUAGCAUCUGAUAGCUAAAAAGCACCAUCUCAUCAGAUCAAAUAACUUUCUUCCACUUGAUUUUUGAGCCUCCCCCGUGUGUUUUGAUGAACUCUAGUGGAGAUUUAAUGAAUUUUCUUCAACAGUGGCUUUCUCUUUGCCAUUCUCCCAUAAAGCUUUGACUGGUGGAGAACCCAGGAAACAGUGAAGUCUCUCCCUCCUCAUCUGCUGAAACUUGUAACUCCGUCAGAGUACUCAUAAGGGUCUUAGAUGGGCAGCCUAAUCUAGGCAGAUUUCAAUAACCUUUUCUCUGAGUUGAUUGGAGUGUUCUUUUCACUUCAUGGUGUAAUAGUAGCCAGGAAUACUGAUUAAUCAGUGACUGGACCUUCCAGACACGUGUCUUCAUACUACGAUACUUCACUUCACUUAGGUGAUCCCCAUACAAGCACUGAGACUACAAGCACCAUGUAGCGUAGUAUAGAGUAGUUGACAUUUCUUUGUAGAAAUUUUUUUUUAACUUUGACAUUAAGUUUUUUUUUAAUUCUAAGAGAAUCAGAUCAUUUUUAUGCAAAUAAUUUCCAGCAAAUUUACCCAAGCAUGAUGAGUCUAAUGAAGUGUUUUAAAAAUGCCAACAUUGUCAUUAACAACGACAAGGCAUGAAUUAUUUGAUAUUUCUUUCCUCCUGAACAAACAAUAUGACAAAGUGAAAAGCAUGUCUGAUGACUUGUGAAGUUGUUCCGUGUCAUGUGACAGGAUUUAUGAGUUUUGAAGUCAUCAAAAUUCAACAAGUUUCCUUCUUCAUCGUGACCCAUUAACAGAGGAAGCUGUCUUGUGCAUAUAAAUGAAGUGUUGUUGUGUCAUCCUGCUCUGGUGUGUUAAAGUAGCCAGUGUGUGCCCCAGUCUAUGCCUCACUUUCCUCCCUCGGACCAAACACACACAUACCUCCCAAAACACACACACACAUGCGGAAACACACACCUGACAUGUGACACACGGGCAGCGGAGCGGGCACAUCACAGCCGGGGCGUUUUAAUUGCCUGUAAUUUAUGCGGUGUGUGUGUGUGCUGUGUGUGUCUGGCUGUCAGCCUCUGAGAUGAUGCUGUGUGACAGCUGCAGUCCAGCCCCUGGAGCUAGCCGCUCAUAAUGACACAUUAGACAUACUAAUGAUGCCUGCGCCAGUCCACUACUGACGCUACCUACCUCCGCGGCUCCAGCCGGCCUCUGCUCUUAUGUACACCCACUCACUCUCUGCCCAUUACUGACCUUUACGUCUUCAUUCAAUCUCUGCAAACAUGAAAAUGUCUUCUGACACACAAUAAACUGAUGCUGAUGUUCACCUUUUCAAAUACUCUUCUCAGAAAAAGUCACGUGAAAUCUCGCAUGGAAAUUCAGAGCAUAUGUGGUUUUAGGACACAUUGGCCUCUCUAUGUGAACAUGUUUCUUUGAAAAAGGGGUCUUUCUUGGUGCAGAGUUUUGCCUAAUUCAUACAUUUUUUUGGAUACGUAUACAUUUUCUAAAAGUGAUGAUGGUUAGAAUCAAUCUUCUUUCAAGGGACUCAGAGUGUUCGAAGCAAAAAUCUGGUUAAAGUACAUGGCACAUGAAGAAGAAAAAACAUUAUCUGAGGGCCAUAAUUUAGAAAAGUUCUAGGAACUCUUUCUGCAUUCAUAGAAGUGCUAACCUGACCAUAUCCUGGACUUUUGUUCUUGCAUUUCCUGAAGAAGCUUGAUGUCAGCAAGGUACCAAUCAUCAACUUUUCAUUACUCAAGUGUCAUUAAUAAACUAUUGACAAUGGCGUCCUGUUGAUGGUGUUGUCCUUGCUGGUGAACUAGCAAAAAAUGGAAGUCCUAUAGCUAGAAAGAAAGGGAAGAAAUACUUUUAUGGCUUGGAUUCUAUUCAAAUAUAGUUGAUCUCACCUAUUUUCAAUAGAGCCUCUGCCUCAGUACUUGCUGUAAUUGUUUAUUUCUUUCUCUUUUGUGUCUUUGUUUGUGAUCAGGGAUGCUGAGGUCUCUGAUGCGUCAGGGACAGUACUUCUGCCAUGAGUGCGGGAAGAGUUUCAGUCAGCCGAGCCACCUGCGCACCCAUAUGAGAUCCCAUACAGGGGAGAGGCCAUUCUGCUGCCAGCUCUGCCCAUACCGAGCCUCU
Molecule: RNA transcript, 8956 nt
Organism: Cheilinus undulatus (humphead wrasse)
Lineage: Eukaryota; Metazoa; Chordata; Actinopteri; Labriformes; Labridae
Gene: znf516
Gene name: zinc finger protein 516
Exons: 6
Source: RefSeq, a predicted model, not a curated record